UAAGGUCAUGGGUCAUGGAUAUAGGGUCAUGGGGCCAUUGGGAUAUAGGGCCAUGGGGCCAUGGGGCUGUAGGACCAUGGAUAUAGGGUCAUGGGGUCGUUGGGAUAUAGGGCCAUGGGGUCAUUGCGUCAUUGGGAUAUGGAGGCCAUGGGGCUGUAGGGCCAUGGGGUCAUGGGGCCAUUGGGUUAUAGGGCCAUGGGGCUGUAGGGUCAUGGGGUCAUUGGGAUAUAGGGCCAUGGGGCCAUGGGGCUGUAGGGCCAUGGGGCUGUAGGGUCAUGGAUAUAGGGUCAUGGGUCAUGGAUAUAGGGUCAUGGGGCCAUUGGGCUGUAGGGUCAUAGGGUCAUUGGGAUAUAGGGUCAUGGCGCCAUGGGGUCAUUGGGCUGUAGGGUCAUGGAUAUAGGGUCACGGGUCAUGGAUAUAGG
Molecule: long non-coding RNA, 422 nt
Filed under: Anas platyrhynchos platyrhynchos (common mallard)
Lineage: Eukaryota; Metazoa; Chordata; Aves; Anseriformes; Anatidae
Description: lncRNA (ENSAPLG00000022112.1)
Source: RNAcentral